RNAcentral lists this ribosomal RNA (253 nucleotides) under uncultured bacterium. RNAcentral's name for it is "partial 16S ribosomal RNA". It matches the Rfam family "Bacterial small subunit ribosomal RNA", at positions 524 to 776 of the family's 1533-position model. The record is from RNAcentral.
AACGUAGGUACCGAGCGUUAUCCGGAUUUACUGGGCGUAAAGCGCGUUCAGGCGGUUCGGCAAGUCGGGCAUGAAAUCUCUCGGCUCAACCGGGAGAGGUUGUCCGAUACUGCUGGACUUGAGGGCAGUAGAGGGUGGUGGAAUUCCGGGUGUAGUGGUGAAAUGCGUAGAUAUCCGGAGGAACACCAGUGGCGAAAGCGGCCACCUGGACUGCACCUGACGCUGACACGCGAAAGCUAGGGGAGCGAACGGG